This is a long non-coding RNA of Ananas comosus (pineapple), 694 nucleotides long. RefSeq lists it as uncharacterized. The transcript has 2 exons. The record is from RefSeq and is a predicted model, not a curated record. Lineage: Eukaryota; Viridiplantae; Streptophyta; Magnoliopsida; Poales; Bromeliaceae.
ACGAACGUGCUGGCGAAGUCGGUUCGGCGAUUCGUCGAGCCGGUGCGAAGUUAUUAAAGAAACGGACGUUUAGGCUUCGGUUCCGCCUGGAGGGCCGAGGCGACGUCGUAAAAUCAUGGAAUUGGAUUUGAGGCACCGUAACAACAAAACGACGACCUUUUUGCCCGAGGCUGCGAAGCGAUGCGCGGUUGGUGCGCAAUUGCAAGUUCUGACGGAACCGAGCACCGGAUGCCGCGGGAGGUCGAUUGCAAGUGUCGACAAGCAAUCGGAAUGCGCUAACAGCUUGCCUCCUUCGGACCUGUUGGUCGAGCUUUUCCCUUGGGUGGCCGUACCCACUAGGAACCAUAGAGUUGGUUCUCACCCCACGUUGCUUUGGGGUGUUACAGGUUUGCACAUGAGCGGCGCGACGGCGCGAGGAAAGGGCGUAGCUCCGUAGAUAGCGCCUUACCAUAGAGACCAGAGUUAGCCGUACCCCGAGUCGACAUAUCCUAGGGGUAUAGAGAUGAAAAGAUCAAUGUAUUAAAAUUGUAAUGAAUAAUUGAUGUAACAAUUCUUAUUAAGAUGUAUUAUACUUGUGAAUAAUGAUGUAGUAGCUUAGAUUACAUUUGGUUGGAAGUAAAAGUAAAUGGUAAACAAGAGGUAAAGUAUGAAUGAAUGAAUGUAAUAACAUAGGAUGUGUUUAUGUUGUUUGAUA